UGUCAGGUGACUAAAUGACGUGAUGAUGGAUGGGUAAUGGACCCAUUGAAUCGAGAUAUUGGAUGGAGUGUGGUAUAUGGUUAAUAUGAUAACAAGCAGAGACUAGUGUAAUUAUGAAAUAGCUAAUCAUGACAUGAGUAAAGAGUAAUUCUUUGUGUAAAUCAUACUUUAAAUUUCUCUAUUAGCAAUUUACCAAAACUACGCAACCAACAGAAAAUGCUGGUUUUUGAAAAAUUGUAUUUGUUUAAAUAGUAAUUGUAAUUGAAUAAAAUAAAAUAAUAAUUGU
RNAcentral lists this long non-coding RNA (286 nucleotides) under Brassica napus (rape). Its description in RNAcentral is "long non-coding RNA (BNAP_LNC021972)". Lineage: Eukaryota; Viridiplantae; Streptophyta; Magnoliopsida; Brassicales; Brassicaceae. The record is from RNAcentral.